UAGGGAAUAUUGGGCAAUGGAUGCAAGUCUGACCCAGCCAUGCCGCGUGCCGGAUGAAGGCCCUCAGGGUUGUAAACGGCUUUUAUUCGGGAAGAAGAGCAGGGAUGCGUCCCUGUGUGACGGUACUGAAUGAAUAAGCACCGGCUAACUCCGUGCCAGCAGCCGCGGUAAUACGGAGGGUGCGAGCGUUGUCCGGAUUUAUUGGGUUUAAAGGGUGCGUAGGUGGCUUUUUAAGUCAGUGGUGAAAUACAGCCGCUCAACGGUUGAGGUGCCAUUGAUACUGAAGAGCUUGAAACAAGUGGAGGCUGCCGGAAUGGAUGGUGUAGCGGUGAAAUGCAUAGAUAUCAUCCAGAACACCGAUUGCGAAGGCAGGUGGCUACGUUUGAUUUGACACUGAGGCACGAAAGCAUGGGGAGCAAACAG
This 423-nucleotide ribosomal RNA is filed under the name uncultured bacterium. Its description in RNAcentral is "bacterial SSU rRNA". It matches the Rfam family "Bacterial small subunit ribosomal RNA", at positions 355 to 775 of the family's 1533-position model. The record is from RNAcentral.